Molecule: long non-coding RNA, 597 nt
Organism: Temnothorax curvispinosus
Lineage: Eukaryota; Metazoa; Arthropoda; Insecta; Hymenoptera; Formicidae
Exons: 4
Source: RefSeq, a predicted model, not a curated record
CUAUCAACCACCGCCACGAAACGUCGUCGUCGUCGUCGUCAUCAUUGUCUUCUCGUUGACUUCCUCGAUUAGAUCAGAAUACUGGAAUUUGACUAAUGCCGUUACCAACCAACAUGGAAGCGAAAUUGCUGCGCCAGAUAGUUCUUGCAGGUAUGGCGGAUCUAAAAGAGGAUCAGGAUAAGGCCAAGUGGAAAUAUGCUUUAGAGGUUAGAACACCAUCAGAAAUGGAGGAACCUGGUUCAUGCAUUCUUCGUGCGUUCUACGGAAAAUCAGUCCGGAAUAGGUGGUUUAUAAAGAAGUGUACGAAACGAAUAAGAUGUAUAUGCGAGGUGUCACGGCGAUAGAACCCGAAUGAUUGCCGAAAUUCGUUUCCACGCUAUGCCAUCUUAGUGAAUCAUUGGUUGAUCCACCGCCAAGAUAUAAUCAAGGAACCGGGAAGAUCAUUUGCCGCGUGUCUGGUACAUUUGGAAAGGCCGGAUGGGGACUACCAUCGAUGGAUAUAGAGCAUCUGUGGACGGUGUAAAGUGGUUCGCGUAUUUCUUCUUGGAGGGUCAAGUGUACCCUAAGCUGAAGCGAUUUGUUCCGUCGUUGCUGACG